UACGAAGGGGGCAAGCGUUGUUCGGAAUUACUGGGCGUAAAGGGCGCGUAGGCGGCUUUGCAAGUGACGGGUGAAAUCCCUCGGCUUAACCGAGGAACUGCCUGUCAAACUGCAUGGCUUGAGACCGGGAGAGGUGAGUGGAAUUCCCAGUGUAGCGGUGAAAUGCGUAGAUAUUGGGAGGAACACCAGUGGCGAAGGCGGCUCACUGGACCGGUACUGACGCUGAUGCGCGAAAGCGUGGGGAGCAAACAGG
Molecule: ribosomal RNA, 253 nt
Filed under: uncultured bacterium
Lineage: Bacteria
Description: partial 16S ribosomal RNA
Rfam family: Bacterial small subunit ribosomal RNA
Source: RNAcentral